GCCCCUUAUUUAUAUAAAUAUUAUACUAGCAUUUACUAUCUCACUUCUAGGAAUAUUAGUAUACCGCUUACACCUGAUAUCCUCCCUACUAUGUCUAGAAGGAAUAAUAUUGUCAUUAUUUAUUAUGGCUACUCUCAUAACCCUUAACACCCACUCCCUCUUAGCCAACAUCGUGCCUAUCACCAUAUUAGUCUUUGCUGCCUGCGAGGCAGCAGUAGGCCUAGCCCUACUAGUUUCAAUCUCCAACACAUACGGCUUGGACUACGCCCAUAACCUAAACCUACUCCAAUGC
RNAcentral lists this long non-coding RNA (292 nucleotides) under Homo sapiens (human). Its description in RNAcentral is "non-protein coding lnc-ST8SIA4-10:1". The record is from RNAcentral. Lineage: Eukaryota; Metazoa; Chordata; Mammalia; Primates; Hominidae.